Molecule: ribosomal RNA, 510 nt
Filed under: uncultured bacterium
Lineage: Bacteria
Description: bacterial SSU rRNA
Rfam family: Bacterial small subunit ribosomal RNA
Source: RNAcentral
GCAGCNACGCCGCGNUGUGGGAGGACGCCCCUAGGGGUGUAAACCACUGUUGCCCGGGACGAAUCCUGGAUUAGUUCCAGGUUGACGGUACCGGGUGAGGAAGCACCGGCUAACUCCGUGCCAGCAGCCGCGGUAAUACGGAGGGUGCGAGCGUUGUCCGGAAUCACUGGGCGUAAAGGGCGCGUAGGCGGCAAGCCAAGCGUGCGGUGAAAGUCCGGGGCUCAACCCCGGAUCUGCCGUGCGGACUGGUUUGCUCGAGCACUGUAGAGGCGAGUGGAAUUCCGGGUGUAGCGGUGGAAUGCGUANAGAUCCGGAAGAACACCGGUGGCGAAGGCGGCUCGCUGGGCAGUGGCUGACGCUGAGGCGCGACAGCGUGGGGAGCAAACAGGAUUAGAUACCCUGGUAGUCCACGCCGUAAACGAUGGGCACUAGGUGCCCGGGGGAGCGACCCUCCGGGUGCCGUCGCUAACGCAUUAAGUGCCCCGCCUGGGGAGUACGGCCGCAAGGCUG